This 409-nucleotide unclassified non-coding RNA is filed under the name fungal sp. Its description in RNAcentral is "partial internal transcribed spacer region". The stretch from base 1 to 46 matches the Rfam family "Eukaryotic small subunit ribosomal RNA", at positions 1786 to 1831 of the family's 1831-position model. Lineage: Eukaryota; Fungi. The record is from RNAcentral.
AAGUCGUAACAAGGUUUCCGUAGGUGAACCUGCGGAAGGAUCAUUAAUACGUUUCUAAACAAACGUUUUAAACUCCAAAAUUUUAAUAGUGGAAAUAUAACUUCCGGAUGCAUUUGUAGGAGGGGAGAUCAGACCUUAAAAAGUCUGUUCUUCUCUUUUGAAAAGGAGACUUCAUGCACUUUAUUGUGAGUGUGUGACACUUCAGAGUAGAGCAGUGAGGUGAAAACUUCGGUUUUGGUUUCUGAAAUACACAUUUGUAUCCGGUUAUUCUCUGUUCUACAACCCUUAUAUAAAACAAUAAACCCCAUGUACAACAACUUGAACUAAACAAAUUUUGUUUUCUCUCUGUGAGGAAAUGAGGUAAAUCUGAACUUAAGAACAACUCUUAACAACGGAUAUCUUGGUUCUC